UCAAACUUGGUCAUUUAGAGGAAGUAAAAGUCGUAACAAGGUCUCCGUUGGUGAACCAGCGGAGGGAUCAUUAUCAGAGUGUAACAACUCCCUACACCCACUGUGAACCUAUACCAAGUUUGUUGCUCCGGCGGAACCGCCCUGGGCGCGCCCGUUCUCGCGGCGUGCCCCAGACUCAGGCGCCCGCCGGGGAUCUCAACCACUAUUCUUUGCAUUUUUCCAGACUUCUGAGUGUGAUUUUUCCAAAAUCAAAAUUAAAACUUUCAACAACGGAUCUCUUGGCUCUGGCAUCGAUGAAGAACGCAGC
This 307-nucleotide unclassified non-coding RNA is filed under the name uncultured fungus. RNAcentral describes it as "partial contains small subunit ribosomal RNA, internal transcribed spacer 1, and 5.8S ribosomal RNA". The stretch from base 1 to 73 matches the Rfam family "Eukaryotic small subunit ribosomal RNA", at positions 1759 to 1831 of the family's 1831-position model. Lineage: Eukaryota; Fungi. The record is from RNAcentral.